RNAcentral lists this long non-coding RNA (13008 nucleotides) under Salmo salar (Atlantic salmon). Its description in RNAcentral is "lncRNA (ENSSSAG00000098216.1)". The stretch from base 8384 to 8437 matches the Rfam family "UnaL2 LINE 3' element". The record is from RNAcentral. Lineage: Eukaryota; Metazoa; Chordata; Actinopteri; Salmoniformes; Salmonidae.
UUGUUUUCUGUUUGUUUUCAAUGUAAACUUUUAUUACUAAUCCAUGACAAGACAGUUUGUUUUUCAUACAAAGGCACAUGUGGUUCAUUCAGUGCAUUCUAGCAUUACAUAAUACAUAUUAGAUUGCAUAACACAAACAACAUCGGUUGCUUUAAAAUAUCUGAAUAGACGUUUCAUCUUGGUGCAAAACAAAACAAGAAACAUAGAAUUAUUGAAUAACUUCAGCGACCACACUUUGUUGAAUGUAUGCGAAUAGACUGGUUUUAGCCAUCCCUAAAGGGACUUUUAGUUAUGGACUAAAAAUGUUGUUCAAUUUCAAGCUUAUCCAGGCAGAUAAGUAAUAAUAUAGCAUUGUGAUUAUCAAAAUAAUACAUUUACAAAUUCAGACCAAGAUAGUCUCCUUCAACUCAAUUGUACAAGCACUGAAUAGAUUGUUAAAAUAAAUACUUCAAAUAUUUGCAUAGAUUAUCAAUUGGAAUAAAAAUGUGCCACUUUCUGAAAAUGUAUAUAAAACAAACUAGUCUAUGAUAGUGCUUGCAUUAAUGCAUUUGCUCGCAUGUGUAUUGUGUGUGUGUGUGUGUGUGUGUGAGUGUAUGCGAUAAUGUCUCGGACAGGAAAUGAAGAAAGCCUUUGAAAUCUCUGUAUUUAUCAUGUCUUACUCUGAAGUACCUUGUAUUACGCUGAUGUGGUUUGCUAGGGAAAGCCAGGCUACUGCAUUCAAAGCCUACUUGGAAAGCUUUAGUGGUUUAGUAUGUUCUGCCCGUGCAGCCUAGCUUACUCCCUAUAAAUGUGUAAUUCCUACACUGAUUCGCAUUGGCAGAGGCUUAGGGCCAGCAUAUUGAAUUCUGUUAUUGAAAAAUUAAAACUAAAAUGUCUCUCCACAAUUUGUUUUAUAAAUCAAAUGUGUUAUGUUCAUCUGUAAUGUCUAACUUUCUCUGUCUCUCUCUCGCUUUCACACACGCACACGCACAAGCACACAGACACACAGACAGACACACAGACAGACAGACAGACAGACAGACAGACAGACAGACAGACAGACAGACAGACAGACAGACAGACAGACAGACAGACAGACAGACAGACAGACAGACAGACAGACAGACAGACAGACACAAAAAACCUACACUGUGAGAGAGAACUGAAUAAACAGCAUAAUAUUUCAUGAGAUUGUUCGCCCAAAAAUAAUCCAGUUGGCGGCUUGCCCAAUAUAUUUGGUAGCAGACCAAAAACAGUUGCAUAGAGUAUAAAGACAACAGCUCUCCCAUUCACUUGUGUGUCAUAUGACACACGGAGCCGUCUAAUCGCAGUGCAGUAUUCUUCACUGCUGCCGUGGGUCUCACAUUCAUGUAUCUGUCUGUCAUAGCAACUAGUAAAUAAUAAAACAUAAACAUAAAAAUGGGCUAAAAUUCUAACCAUUAUGAUCUAGGUAGGUCUAUGUUAUUUAUACAGCUUGUUAUACAACAUUCCCAUGCAACACCAUGGACUCCAUUCAUACAUUGUUAUUUACUUUAAAUUAAAGUAGUAGUAGUAGUAGUAGUAGUAGUAGUAAAGUGCUCUAUGCUAUUAUAUAAAUGUUUGCACUUAAGAAUCUGUAUUGCAAUGAACAUUUCCUCACAUGUACAUACACUGAGUGUACAAAACAUUUAAGGACACCUUCCUACUAUUGAGUUGCAGCCUCAACUCGUUGGGGCCUGGACUCUACAAGGUGUCAAAAAGCGUUCAACAAGGACGCUGGCCUAUGUUGACUCCAAUACUUCCCACAGUUGUGUCAAGUUGGCUGGAUGUCCUUUGGCUGGUGGACCAUUCUUGAUACACACGGGAAACUGUUAAGUGUGAAAAACCCAGCAGUGUUGCAGUUCUUGACACAAACCGGUGUGCCUGGCACCUACUACCAUACCCCGUUCAAAGGCACUUACAUUUUUUUGUCUUGCCCAUUCACGCUCUGAAUGGCACACACACAAUCCAUGUCUCAAUUGUCUCAAGGCUUAAAAAUCCUUCUUUAACCUGUCUCCUUCCCUUCAUCUACACAGAUUGAAGUGGAUUUAACAAGUGACAUCAAUAAGGGAUCAUAGCUUUCACCUGGAUUCACCUGGUCAGUCUGUCAUGGAAAGAGCAGGUGUUCUUAAUGUUUUGUGUAGAUGUCAUUGAGGCUGCAAGCAAAUACUGUAGGAACACAGCACAUGUAAUGUAUCUCAUUCAUAGCACAGUGUAUCCAAGAAUCCCUGCUUCUCUGUUUAUCUUGGAUCCUGAGAUAUUUGCUCUUGUUUUCCACGCCACCAACCCACUUUCUUAUUGGCUUAAGAAAGGAAACAAAACCAAUCCAGAUUGUUCCUUGCUGGAUAACAAAACCCAGGCCGGAGGUCCAACCACACGUCAGAGGCAGCUAAAGUGCUCUGAUGCUCAAAUGUUGGGGUACAAGUCGGAGUAUAGUGGACAAACAUUGUUGUAAUGGGCCUGUUCCAUUGCAAAUACUAGGGAUGGGUUGGUAGUUUGUGGGCAACUUUUCUUCUCCCAAUGGAUUACUGCUCGCUGUUUUUUCUGCCCUCUAUCAGUGUUCUGGACCAUUAUUUGCCUGGAGGGGGGAAAAAAUGUAUGUUAGAAGCAGGGGUUGGAACCAAAAUUAUUUUCCAAUCGUUCCCGAACAGAACCCCUAUAUUUUUUGUUCCGUUCCAGUGUUCCGGCCAGCAUAAUAAAGUUCUGAACCGGGUUGAAGAAGAAAAAAGCAGUGGUUCAUAUACUUCCUUUUUCCCCCCAUUUUUUUACCUGUGAAAUCGACAUCGUUUUUAUAUUUAGCUUAUUAUUUUACCUCACCAAUUAGCACGGAUAGAGCAUCUUGCUAUGGAACAGGUAGGCUAGUUGUUUGCAUGUUUAAUUGGUCAGAGAUGAUGCGACUGAAGUUUCACGGGUGGGGAGAGAGCGAGAGAAAGCGGUGGACAUGGAGGAACAUGGUUUGAAGCACUGAGCAUCAUGACAUGAAUUGGGAGUGUGUAUAGGCUAUUACUAGCAUCAAAACUUCACUGAAUUGCAGAAUUAUAUACGAGAUAUUAGGAAUAUUUUUGGAACAAAAAAUAACAUUAUUAACCAGUUCUCAAGAUUUGAAAAAAACGGUUCUGUUCCGGAACACUAGAGAUCCUUGACAUAUUUUGUCAUUUUCUGGUUUUCGGUUCUGUUCCCUGAACCGGUUCCAACCACUGGUUAAAACACCACCAUAUAUAAAACAAAUUCAAAAUAAAGCCAGUACAUUAUGUGUUAAAAUAUUUUCGAGUGAACGGCCAGUCUCUUUCAUAUAGCAAAAACCCGUUGUGGCCUUAGGUGCGCCUGGUCUGGUUUUAGCUGAGGUAAGCCCUGCUCUGUGUGCUGGGCGCAGACUGCCAGCUAGCCAAGGGGAUUGAGGGUGAAGUUGAAAGGCACUGCCGGGAGCCUGGUACGCUAAGGGGCCAUAAUGCAAAGAGGAAGCAUGUGACACACCCUAAGCUGUAGGAGCUGAGACUGAGGGACUUCUGAGAGCUGGGGGCCCUUUUAUUUUAGAGCCACUCAGACAAGCAACUUAAAAUCUUACCCAAGGGUCAUAGAGUACAUAGAGAACCAGCCAUGAUGUUUGUGGUUGUCUGGUUUCAUAACUACAAUGGGUAGAGCCAGCAUGCUGACUAGCUAGCAUCAUGUUAGCCAUAUUAGCUAUUAGCUAGAAUCAUGUUAGCCAUAUUAGCUAUUACCCAGAAUCAUGUUAGCCAUGCCAGAUAGCAUCUCGAUAGCAGUUUAAUAUGUACUGUAUGUCAAUGGGCUAACUACAAGUAAAGGAAGGACAUUUCCAAUGAAACGCAAAAUGAGACAGAAGGGGUGUCACAAAAGGGGUUUAGGGUAUUGGUGUCGGUUUGAGUUAUUGGGAAGCAUGGUCUUGUUUUUGUUGAGUGGCCUACGGUGAAUGAGCUAGUUAAUGGUAAAUUUACAACCCCAGCAUGUGGGCCAAUAAAACCAGGGGGACAGGGGACAUACAGGACGAUGAGAAUGAUUGUGAGAGGGGGGGAGAAAGAGAAAGAGGGGGAGAGAGUAGAGUGGAGGACGCUGGUAAUUAAGAGUCUAAGGGAGUGUGAGAGGGGGCACACACUGCUCAGAGCAAACUUUGUGCAUGGAAUCCUCACUCCUAUUUAUGCACCCUGUCUAUUCUCCCCUCCCUUCUACCCUUUAUCUUCUUCCUGGCCUUUCCUCUCUCUCCAUUCACUUGUCGCUCCCUCUGAAUGAAUAGUCACAGCUCUGUGGUGUCCCCCCCCCCCACCAACACCCCCACAGUACUCCCCUUAAACUCCCCCUCUAGCUCAGUCUUGAAUAGGGAGUCGAAUUGAGCAAACAGUCAGCCUGUCAGCUCAAUAGGAGGUCUGGCCGUGAACUUCAAGUCCUUCCCAGGCCCCCAGCGUCACAUUGGGGAGAGAGGCAGGGAGUUGGGAGGGAGGUGUGGGCUUGGGGAGCUGUGGGGAGACAGGAGGGAGGGGGUGAGUGGGAGCCACAGACACAGACAGACUUUAGGGGGCCCCUACGUGCCAAUAUUGGGGGGACCUCUGCCUGCCACAGAAGUUCCCAAGACUGGAGCUUUCGCUGGAGCUAUGGGGGAGGGUGCUCCAGGUCCCAGCUGCCUCCCCCCACCCCCUAGUCUAGGCAGGAGGGGUGUGUGCAGACGGGACAGUGUCUGCCCCCUGCCCAAACUCCAGCCCUCCAGACCCGGACACUCAGACGCAAGCUGCUGACUCUGCCCACCCACCCCCUCAACUCGCCUCGCUCCCAGCUCGCACAGGCCACACAUCAUCUCAUUACCCAACGCCAGCCACUCUACUGUCUACUGUUUGUAUUGUUUUGGGCUCUGCAUAAUUUACACAGUAAAUUGAGAAUGGCCCUGGCCCCUGCUCAAUCUACCACCUGUUUACAGAGACUGCCCGUGAUUAGUGGCUUUGCAUUAGAUUAGACACUGUUACUACUAAGGCUCUCAUGCGAUGUUUUGUUAGACUGGCUCCCCAACAUAGAAACUUUGAAUGUUGUUGGUUUUGUCAGGAUUUUUUUCUAUCUCCACAUUUGGCUUAAUCAGCUGCUAUAGUUUAUUUGAAUAUCCUUAAUAAAUUCAUUAUGUCUAGUCCUAACAGCAAUGUCUCUGUAGACCUCAUGCAGCGGAAUACCUUGGUGGGAUUGGCGAAGAGACAGACUUAAUAGCACUCUAGUGUUUCACCGUCCAUAUGCAUGGGUAGUAACUCACUAGCCUAUCCAUUAGCAAUGCUCUGGCACCGUACAGUAUCUUAGCGAUAGCACUGUCUCGACCUCCAGUAUGCAGACACAAACAAAGGGAGUUCUCUCCGUGCGGCACGGACAAUGGCACACAUUGUUUACCGGCUGCCUUAUUUAAUCGGGCCCAGCCGACUCUAAUUGGUGUUUUGGUUAUUAAGCGGUUUUUAAACUUGCAGCUCCCUGCUCGGAAUAAAGGAGUCGCUACAACAAGCUUGCUUAGGAGAACAAUACACGACUUGUCUCAGCACCAGCUCCCCCAAAACCUCACCCACCAACACAAAGACAGCUUUCCUCUACUGAGACCUCGCUAUCAUACUCUCAUUCGGCUUCUGCCUCUCUCGCUCCCUCUCUCCGUCUCUCAACCACACUCACUCUCUCCUGGUCCCUUUCUCUCUGUGUUGGUGUUGUACUGCAGUCUCUGUCUGAGUAGCACCAGCUGGCUCAUGGGCGUCACAGUUUUCUCCUUUAAAGAUAUGCUCUGAACUGCUUUUAGAAUUUUUAACUAAACAGUCAUUAGCGUAAAUGUUUACAUGUCAGCAAAUUAGGAUCAUUCAUUACAAAAACGGAAUGAUAAGACUUGGUGAAAAUAAAUAUUGCAAAAAGCGUACCGUCUCUUUGAUUACUAUUGAUAAUAAGAAUAGUGAUGAUGAUAUAAUAUAGCCCUAGCUAAUAUUUGUUAAUAGUCUCUGGGUGUAACUAUCUUGUGUAAUAUGCUAAAUGUGGAACAUUCAUGUCUCAGUUAUUCUGACCAGGGAAUACGGCCCGCGUAUUUCAACCUUCAACCAAAAUGGCAGCCGUCGCCAUGUCGGGCAUGUGUGUGAAGAGGAUGGCACAACAAUUCCCAAACGGGAAGAAAACUGGGCUGCUCAGAGCACAGAUGCCCACUGAAUGCCCCCUGAGAGAGAGCGAGAGCAAGAAGUGAUUUAAUGCAAGCACACACACAAAAACCCCAGCCUGCCCCCCCCCCAUCAACGCGUCCCGUGAUUUCUGCAAUUAGCAAACACAUCUGAGUUGCUUAAAGGCAAGGCCAGCCUGGCAGAGGGAGGGAGCGAGAGAGAAGGGAGGGUCCGGAGGAGGAGGAAAGGAUGGGGUGAUGGUGGCGGUGGUGGUGUUAUGGAGGCGUGAUGCAGCAUGGCGGGAACAGGGCUGUUAUUGUUACCUGCUCUCUCUGAUCCUCACUUCCAUUUCAUGCCAGCGUGCGUCGUCCUAAGAUGGUGGCGUGGGCUACGUCUCGCGGUACAGGAGAAUGGGGAAGGCAGCUGAGGAUGAAGCGAGGGAGGGGAGAAGGGGAGAGGCGAUACGGAGGAGGGCGAGAAGAGGGAGGCAGAGUCAACAGCAACCUCUCUUCCUCUCCCUGUUUUUCAGCCUCAUUUUGCCAGCAUUCUGUCACGGUGGUGUUGGUAGUCUGCACAAAAAAUAAGAAUAGGUAAAAAGAGAAAAUGUGAGUAUGUGGUUUAACCAGCCGAGAUACACAUACAUACAUAUGUACGUAUACACACGCACCCACACAUGUCUUUUCUCAUGGUACAGUCUGCCCCUGAGCAUGCAAAUGACUUUUAUUAUGCAAAUGCAUGCAAAUCAGAUCCAACCAUCUGAGAAUCAAGCCUGGGAAGAAAGAAAAUUGACACAGAGAUUGAAUGAAAGAAUGAAAGAGAAAUAGAACAGGGGGAAAAUCCUUUUGAGUGGCAGGAGGCGGUAAGUCAGGUAAAUGGUAUGUGGAGGAACAACGGUGGCCCAAAUUGGACAAACAAGAUUGCCUUUUGUAUUAUGACGAUAACUUAGCUUUUUUCUGACUGCACUGUAUUUUAACAUCAUACUUGAUAUCAUACAAGUUUCACAUGAAGUUAAGUUCAGACUCACAUCAUCUGCAAUAGCAAGCAAGGAGAUUGCUCCAGCUAACAGGCUUUUCAGCAGUUCCACAAUGUCUUCACUUUCAUUCAAGGACGCAACAAGGACUUGAGCUCCUUUAUUGAAAAAACACAGGAAUUUCACGUGAUCACGUGAUCUUAUGUGAAGUUAAUGUGAUAACAUGUAAAAGCAACAUGUGAUACCAUGAAACUACACAUGUGAAAACAUUUGAGCACACGUGAAAACAUGAUCUCGUGAAAGAAAUGUGACAACAUGGGGAUGCAAAUUUUUUAAACGUUUUUCACAUGUGAAACUGCAAAUUUCACACGUUGCUUUUAUUACAAUUCACGUGAGGUGAAAACCUGUUAUUCUCCACACAUGUGAAAAGGUGGUGUAAAUGUAAUACAUGUGAACAUAUGGUUUAACGUGAACAACUAACCACACUUGUCUCUUUUCCUGCUUUUUUUGUAAAGGAAGUAAUGAAAUGGUAUUGGAGAUUUAAGGUAAACGGUACGCUGUUCAGCUAAAAUAGUGUAAUACUGUACAUUUAAUCAAUAUGAUGACAUUUGAUGACAUACCUGGGAUUUGAAAUCACACUCUCUAUAUUUGGAGUACGCUGAUCUUUCUGCUGUGUCACAAAGUCUGUAGUAUUCUCAGAAGUCCUCUACAGAUUAAUUACCUACAAUGCAUCUCUGCAAUUAGCAAAAAAGUGCCAUCUGCACUGCUAUUUUAGUUCUAAAUUAAUCUGACUAUUAUCUCAUCAUUGAUUUCCUUCACUUAUUUCAUCAAUUUGUGGGUUUUCUGUAUAGUUGUCUAACGUUGGUGGGGCAUUUAUUUACUUUGUCCUGAAUCACUAUGAUAAAUAUAAUGGUGUAUUAUUAACAAAGCUGAGAUUUACUUUGAAGUACAAAGUGUAGGAAUAGAGGUGAAAUCAGUUACUGACACAGACAUGGUGGUGUAGAAAGGAAGAUUGUACAUAAUGCCGUGAACCAAGAGGUUGUGAGUUCAUAUCCCAGGUGAGGACAUGUUAAAUAAUAAUUACUGUAUAAAUAAACAUACACGAUGUAAUCAUUUGUGUCAAAUAUGUCAAUUGAAAACACUGCGGCUGUGGGACCUUUUGUUUGCAGGGCAUCACCUAUGUAAUCAUAUGCCUUGGGGCCUUCCCUGUGGCUCAGUUGGUAGAGCAUGGUGUGUGCAACGCCAGGGUUGUGGGUUCGAUUCCCACGGGGGGCCAGUACAAAAAUAAUGCAUGAAAUGAAAUGUAUGCAUUCAUUACUGUAAGUCGCUCUGGAUAAGAGCGUCUGCUAAAUGACUAAAAUGUAAAUGUGCAAUAACCCCACAUGUACUGUAAGUUGUACCAAAAUCACAUGAAAGGUUAUGUGAUCACAUAUGAAAAUAUAAUAUAAUACAGUGGGAGAAAGACUGUGACCUAGAAGGGGAUUGCUGUCUGAAAUAUGCUGUUGGAGUCACAGAUGGUUGGCUGUAUGAGAUCAAAUGUUGUGAAACUUCAUUAUAACAAAGACAACAAUGCUACAGUAUCAACAUGCUGAUGAAGAGGUUGAUGAAGAGGUUGAUAGAGGUUGCUGGAGCUAUUAUGUUAGCCUUCGCAUUCUUUUAGCACAAACUCAAACUAGUCAAACAUAUUGUAGUGGUGCUUUUCCAUGUCAUUCUCUGGCCAAGCUAGACAUGCAAGUAACCCAAGAGCUACAAACUAACUCCACCAAUGUGGGUUGGAAUCUACUAACUAGCUACCAGCCUAGCCUAUACAUGACAUUUGGUGAACCAACGAGCAGACUAAUCGGGGAGGAGAGAGCUGCUGUCUGUUUUCACUCUCAGGCUUGAGGAAGGAGGCAGCUUUUGUUUCAGGGUGCCAGUAGGGAGACACUAUUUUUUAGGCUGUAAUGGGGGAGUAGGGAUAGGGGUGAAGGGAAGGGGCUUGGGAGUAUGAGAGAGUAGGCUAGGAGGAAGGGAGGGGCAGUAGAAGAGGGGGUGGGGUACCACUGAAUGGUGGCAAACCUCUCCUAAUUGGCACUUGACAUUUUUUUGCCAUUGGCACUAAAGUGGGCCGGCUUUCAAGCCCGCUCUGAGUCCUUGUUGGAAAAGUGCCAUAUGCAAAUAUGGCGAAUGGGCUCCAUUGUGAAGCCUCUGAUAUUAACAGCUCAGGGAACAAUGCAAUUGUGUGCUUACUCUGGACUCGAAGGUGUGUGAGUGAGAACAAGACAAUGGCUGCCAAAGCCGCUUCGGUCUGAACAGCCCCUUCACAUGACGUUCUGACAAGUAAUUUCACCAGAAUGGCCUUCUGUGGACUGGGGCUCUGUCAGGCUCUGUCCAAAAGCUUGGUUGAAGACUGAAAUAGUUAGUUUCAGUUUGUCCAAUACUUGCCCAACUUCUGAAAAUGUAAUCUUUCUCUUUUUGUUGAGAGGCUCUUUUUCCUAACUGUUAAAAUAUUCAGAAUAUUAUUAGCUUUUUUUGUAAAAAUGCAUCCUAUGUUAAAACAUUUCCAGUUGAGCACAUUGCUCUAAAUGCUAGAAUGUAUAGUGUUCUGUAAUCCUUCUGAUAUUUCUCUAUUUGGAUUGUUUACCCUUCACUAGCUCCCUGGGGCAACAGUGGAGGGAGAUCUAAACAUAACUCCUGUCUCCCUUUGGAGAGUUCUUGGCAAAUCAAUGAUGAAUUGUAGCAAAACUGAGAAGUAUUUUCAAAGACUGAGAAAUGAUAAGAGACUGAUCUUGGACAUCUAGACCAAACAAACUCCCAGCACUAACUUCCAAGAGGAAACAUAUAAAGCAGAUUGUCAAAGGCCGUAAAGCAGUUCCAUCUUUAUCUCCACACAAGUCGAAACUGUCAGGGAGGAAACAGAACAACGGGUCCAACAAUAGCACCCACCUCCGGUGUGGUCCGAACCAAGUCAAAGUACACCUGUUACUGCUAAGUUACCAAACUUAAUCUCCUUUGUCUGGGUGGGUCCAUUGACUUCUGUAAACGCCUGAAAUACAUGAAUUUCUCUUUGAGCGACAGGGAGGCGGGGGCCGCUUUAGAAAUGGCAAAGUCUGCCCCUCUGUACCAGCCCAGCAGUGAAGCCAACUCUGUUGGUGUGUUCUGUUGAGAAAAAAAAGAGGCAGAGAAAAGGGGGCAAGAAUCACUGGGCCUUUUUCAGAAACCCGUCUGGCUGCUAGGACCCGGAGGUGCUGAAAGGGUGGUAAAGGAGCCCAUUGUCGCCCUGUGACAAGUGGACUAGCUCUAUUGACUGUAAAGUCUACUGGUGGGGGGCCGCCAGGGCGCCUGUUUUUCUACUUGACACUUGGAGUCUAAAUCUGCUUGCCUAGAGCCUGAAAGCUAAGACAAAUCCACCAAACCCUACCUCUGCCUCCCUUCCUUUCUCCUCUCCCUCCCUCCAUCUUUUCUCUUUACCCCCUCUCUCUUUCCCUCCCUCCACUCCAGACAGGGCUACAGUAGAGUCUCGGAGGUUUUGUGGAACUCCUGUUUUUGUGCCAUUUUCAGGCAGGCAGUGCAAAGGCCGUCUUUCCUCUGGGGUAGGGUUGCAAAAUUCCAGGAACUGUCAAUGAACUCCCUGGUGUUCCAGAAAUCCUGGUUGGAAGAUUCUGGAUUUCCUGCUUAUUCCCCCCUUACUCCGUGCAUCCUGCAACCAGAAAGUUCCUGGAAUUUUGUAACCAUACUCUCGGGUCCCUAGUGUGGACUGUUUUUGAUAUGACUGUGCCACACACAGUCAUCCCCCUUAUCGCCACCAACAAAACAGCUGCACCAGUGCACACACCUUUAUGGGAGUCUGUCACUGACUUCAUAUCAUCUUCUCUUCAAAUAGUAUUCAUGCUUAUCGUACAAAUUGUAGCUAAUUGGAGAGAAAAAAAACGUUAUUACUGCCUGAAAAAUAAAUACAAACUGAUGUCAGAAAGCUAAUCUAACUUUGCUAAAAUCUCUACCCAUAAAUGUUUUCAUUCAAUCAAAUUUUACUUGCAUAACACUUUGUAAAAGGCCAAUUUGUCACAUUAACAGCCACAACGGCAUGUAUAUAGCUAUACAACCACAGAUAACAGCCAAGAACAGUCGUUGGGGCCUUGUUCCAGUUCCCCUGGAUUCUUCCGUUGGUAAUGACAGUAGCUAGGGAAAACAGACAAAGAGCCAGGUACCACUGUGCCACCGGAGGAGGUGACAUCACCGCCUGUCACUUCCUGUCAAGGCCCUCGUCUCUCUCGUUCCCUCGCUGAGCCCUGAGCUCAAAUGUCUCACUCAGCACCUGCAAUGCAGCAGGCAGGAACCGCUGCACAACCUGCUAAAAUUGACAUUGUGAGUGUUGUUGCUAUACAAACGCUCCAACAGGAGUUUCAGUCUAGUCAGACGUGCCAUAUUGGUGUAAGUAUUGUGUUUGUUAUCAAAGCAGAAUUCAAAUGUAUAAAUUUAGCCGAGUAAAUGUGAUUAAAACCCUGUUUAGGCCAUUGAUCACCAGAUGAAUAACGUGUUUUUCAAACAUACUGGUGCUAUAGUAUACAAUUUACUCUCCAAUUUCUCUGUAAUGUCUUGAAGCUAUGGAAGGCUGAUUUGGUCGAAAGACAGAAAAAUCAUACUAGAGUCCUCACUCGACAUGAUUAUUUUUCUAGUUGAAAAGAAAUCAACAUCAUUGCCUUGAUGACUGAUUGAAGGUGUGAAGAUCUGAUUGACCAAUUACUCCCACUAUUGGCUGAGGCCCGGAUUGUUCCCUCUCUCAUGGCUGUCACUGGGGGCAGUUUCUGGUUGAUUGCCCUCGGACCACUCCCCCACAGAGCCCCACACAGUGGCAUUCAACAAGAUCCAUCAGGCCUUUCCACAUGGUAGCACCUCAUGCAAUGGAGGCUUCGCCAUGGCCCAUUCACAACCAAGCCAACUGUCACCUCAAAUCAAACACCCAAACAAAAGCAAAAUCAAACACCUUCCGAUAUGAAAGAAAGAGGGGGAGAAAACAAAUAAACAACCAUCUAGCUUAACAAAGCGGGCCUCAAACAAAUCUGUCCAUUCGACUAUGUGCUGGCAGGGGAGAUGAUCGUGGGAUUAACUUAAAAAGUCCAUUGUAAACUUCCACAAUCCAAAUAACGUAUGACAUUAGAGGCUAUAAUCAGCAACCAUACUUUCUAUUCAUUUCACCUGUUUUCCAAACAGCCUUAACUAAAACCCCAUCAGCCCAGUACAGAAUUGCUACAACGGUAGGAUGGUUACUUGCAGCUACUGACUGGCCAAUUUGUUAACCACUUCGGCAAAGUCCGCAGUCAGCACCAUUCAGGUUGCUGUUGGUUCUUUGGGACCCGCCCACCACUGCUGGCCAUGUGAUCGUAAGGAUAAGCCGCUGCAUGCAGCCCCACACAGAGGGAUCAGGGGCUUAUUAGAUUACAAGUGAUCCUGUUGGACCAACCGGGCUGCUAGGGACCAAUGCCACCGGCCAUGUGCAAAUAUGAGGAAAUAUGUGUAUAGCUCAUUAUUUUUAGAGAUCAAUCUCAAAGAGAUCAGGCUUUCCCAACUAUAUGGCUCAGGGGGAAAUAUCAAAAAUUCUAAUACUCAAAGAUGUAAAUUCAUAAGAAACUCAACAAAUACUCAAACUCUCAAAUCUGCUGCUAAAAUUCUCAGAGGCAAUUGUGAUAUAUUUGAAUACGGCACACAAGGGCCAGCAGAGACCAGACAGUUGUAAUUGUCAAGCUGAGUUAAAAAGACACACACACGUACACAUACACACAUAAACCUGUGCAAUUGGAUUACAUCACACGACUUACUUGACUUUUUCGUCUGCUCCCGUGUCCUAUGAUGUCGGCCAUUUUUUUGCUUGUUUUGCUGUGAAUGGUAGAAUGGGGUGGUGCGGCAUGGGGGAUAUGUGUUGGGGGAUCUUGAUGCCUUUCAGGAGCGUAAUGG